This 465-nucleotide ribosomal RNA is filed under the name uncultured bacterium. RNAcentral describes it as "partial 16S ribosomal RNA". It matches the Rfam family "Bacterial small subunit ribosomal RNA", at positions 339 to 795 of the family's 1533-position model. The record is from RNAcentral.
CUACGGGCCGCAGCAGUCGAGAAUCAUUGUCAAUGUACGAAAGUAUGAACAUGCGACGCCGCGUGGAGGACGAAGGCCUUCGGGUUGUAAACUCCUGUCCUGAGGGAGUAAGUGCAGGGUGGUUAAUACCCACUCUGUUUGAGAGUACCUCAGAAGAAAGUCACGGCUAACUCUGUGCCAGCAGCCGCGGUAAUACAGAGGUGGCAAGUGUUGUUCGGAUUUACUGGGCGUAAAGGGUCCGCAGGCGGUCUUGUGUGUCAGAUGUGAAAUGCCACGGCUUAACCGGGGAAUUGCAUUUGAAACUGCAGGGCUAGAGUACAGGAGGGGAGAGGGGAAUUCAUGGUGUAGCGGUGACAUGCGUAGAUAUCAUGAAGAACACCGGUGGCGAAGGCGCCUCUCUGGACUGAUACUGACGCUCAUGGACGAAAGCUGGGGGAGCGAAGAGGAUUAGAUACCCCCGUAGUC